UGGCGGCCUUAGCGCGGUGGUCCCACCUGACCCCAUGCCGAACUCAGAAGUGAAACGCCGUAGCGCCGAUGGUAGUGUGGGGUC
Molecule: ribosomal RNA, 84 nt
Filed under: Escherichia coli
Lineage: Bacteria; Pseudomonadati; Pseudomonadota; Gammaproteobacteria; Enterobacterales; Enterobacteriaceae
Also listed under: 1 other name
Source: RNAcentral